Molecule: ribosomal RNA, 546 nt
Filed under: uncultured beta proteobacterium
Lineage: Bacteria; Pseudomonadati; Pseudomonadota; Betaproteobacteria
Description: partial 16S ribosomal RNA
Source: RNAcentral
UCCAGGCGGGAAGCUUCACGCGUUAGCUGCGUUACUGAGAAGGAUGAUACCCAACAACCAGUUGAUAUCGUUUAGGGCGUGGACUACCAGGGUAUCUAAUCCUGUUUGCUCCCCACGCUUUCGUGCCUGAGCGUCAGUGUAGGGCCAGGGGAUUGCCUUCGCCAUCGGUGUUCCUCCGCAUAUCUACGAAUUUCACUGCUACACGCGGAAUUCCAUCCCCCUCUGUCGCACUCNAGACUUGGAGUCUCAAAGGCAGUUCCCAGGUUGAGCCCGGGGAUUUCACCACUGACUUACAAAACCGCCUGCGCGCGCUUUACGCCCAGUAAUUCCGAAAAACGCUUGCACCCUACGUAUUACCGCGGCUGCUGGCACGUAGUUAGCCGGUGCUUAUUCUUACGGUACCGUCAUUAUCUUCCGGUAUUAAAGNAAAUUUAUUUCCUUCCGGACAAAAGCACUUUACAACCCUAAGGUNGAUCNUGCUCGCGCGCAAUGUGCUGGAUAACGCUUGGGCCCAUUGUCCAAAAUUCCCCACUGCGGCGUCCCGAA